Molecule: non-coding RNA, 121 nt
Organism: Phoenix dactylifera (date palm)
Lineage: Eukaryota; Viridiplantae; Streptophyta; Magnoliopsida; Arecales; Arecaceae
Source: RefSeq, a predicted model, not a curated record
UGCUGCAGUGUCAUACCAGCACUAAUGCACCGGAUCCCAUCAGAACUCCGCAGUUAAGCGUGCUUGGGCGAGAGUAGUUUUGGGAUGGGUGACCCCCUGGGAAGUCCUCGUGUUGCCCCCC